Molecule: ribosomal RNA, 404 nt
Filed under: uncultured bacterium
Lineage: Bacteria
Description: bacterial SSU rRNA
Rfam family: Bacterial small subunit ribosomal RNA
Source: RNAcentral
GGGCCCGCACAAGCGGUGGAGUAUGUGGUUUAAUUCGAUGCAACGCGAAGAACCUUACCAGGGUUUGACAUCCUGCGAAUCUCUUGGAAACAGGAGAGUGCCUUCGGGAACGCAGUGACAGGUGGUGCAUGGCUGUCGUCAGCUCGUGUCGUGAGAUGUUGGGUUAAGUCCCGCAACGAGCGCAACCCUCACUUUUAGUUGCCAUCAUUUAGUUGGGCACUCUGAAAGAACUGCCCGUGAUAAGCGGGAGGAAGGUGUGGAUGACGUCAAGUCCUCAUGGCCCUUACGGGUUGGGCUACACACGUGCUACAAUGGUAGUGACAAUGGGUUAAUCCCAAAAAGCUAUCUCAGUUCGGAUUGUCGUCUGCAACUCGACGGCAUGAAGUCGGAAUCGCUAGUAAUCG